Molecule: microRNA precursor, 203 nt
Filed under: Oryza glumipatula
Lineage: Eukaryota; Viridiplantae; Streptophyta; Magnoliopsida; Poales; Poaceae
Description: MIR812 microRNA precursor family
Rfam family: MIR812 microRNA precursor family
Source: Rfam by way of RNAcentral
UAUAAGGGAUUUUGAGUUUUUGCUUGCAACGUUUGACCACUCGUCUUAUUCAAAUUUUUUUGAAAUUAUUAAUUAUUUUAUUUGUGACUUACUUUAUUAUCUACAGUACUUUAAGCAUAACUUUUCAUUUUUUAUAUUUGCAUAAAAAAUUUGAAUAAAACGAGUGGUCAAACAUUGCAAGCAAAAACUUAAAAUCCCUUAUA